GGUUAAGCGACUAAGCGUACACGGUGGAUGCCCUGGCAGUCAGAGGCGAUGAAGGACGUGCUAAUCUGCGAUAAGCGUCGGUAAGGUGAUAUGAACCGUUAUAACCGGCGAUUUCCGAAUGGGGAAACCCAGUGUGUUUCGACACACUAUCAUUAACUGAAUCCAUAGGUUAAUGAGGCGAACCGGGGGAACUGAAACAUCUAAGUACCCCGAGGAAAAGAAAUCAACCGAGAUUCCCCCAGUAGCGGCGAGCGAACGGGGAGGAGCCCAGAGCCUGAAUCAGUGUGUGUGUUAGUGGAAGCGUCUGGAAAGGCGCGCGAUACAGGGUGACAGCCCCGUACACAAAAAUGCACAUGCUGUGAGCUCGAUGAGUAGGGCGGGACACGUGGUAUCCUGUCUGAAUAUGGGGGGACCAUCCUCCAAGGCUAAAUACUCCUGACUGACCGAUAGUGAACCAGUACCGUGAGGGAAAGGCGAAAAGAACCCCGGCGAGGGGAGUGAAAAAGAACCUGAAACCGUGUACGUACAAGCAGUGGGAGCACGCUUAGGCGUGUGACUGCGUACCUUUUGUAUAAUGGGUCAGCGACUUAUAUUCUGUAGCAAGGUUAACCGAAUAGGGGAGCCGAAGGGAAACCGAGUCUUAACUGGGCGUUAAGUUGCAGGGUAUAGACCCGAAACCCGGUGAUCUAGCCAUGGGCAGGUUGAAGGUUGGGUAACACUAACUGGAGGACCGAACCGACUAAUGUUGAAAAAUUAGCGGAUGACUUGUGGCUGGGGGUGAAAGGCCAAUCAAACCGGGAGAUAGCUGGUUCUCCCCGAAAGCUAUUUAGGUAGCGCCUCGUGAAUUCAUCUCCGGGGGUAGAGCACUGUUUCGGCAAGGGGGUCAUCCCGACUUACCAACCCGAUGCAAACUGCGAAUACCGGAGAAUGUUAUCACGGGAGACACACGGCGGGUGCUAACGUCCGUCGUGAAGAGGGAAACAACCCAGACCGCCAGCUAAGGUCCCAAAGUCAUGGUUAAGUGGGAAACGAUGUGGGAAGGCCCAGACAGCCAGGAUGUUGGCUUAGAAGCAGCCAUCAUUUAAAGAAAGCGUAAUAGCUCACUGGUCGAGUCGGCCUGCGCGGAAGAUGUAACGGGGCUAAACCAUGCACCGAAGCUGCGGCAGCGACGCUGAUGCGUUGUUGGGUAGGGGAGCGUUCUGUAAGCCUGCGAAGGUGUACUGUGAGGUAUGCUGGAGGUAUCAGAAGUGCGAAUGCUGACAUAAGUAACGAUAAAGCGGGUGAAAAGCCCGCUCGCCGGAAGACCAAGGGUUCCUGUCCAACGUUAAUCGGGGCAGGGUGAGUCGACCCCUAAGGCGAGGCCGAAAGGCGUAGUCGAUGGGAAACAGGUUAAUAUUCCUGUACUUGGUGUUACUGCGAAGGGGGGACGGAGAAGGCUAUGUUGGCCGGGCGACGGUUGUCCCGGUUUAAGCGUGUAGGCUGGUUUUCCAGGCAAAUCCGGAAAAUCAAGGCUGAGGCGUGAUGACGAGGCACUACGGUGCUGAAGUAACAAAUGCCCUGCUUCCAGGAAAAGCCUCUAAGCAUCAGGUAACAUCAAAUCGUACCCCAAACCGACACAGGUGGUCAGGUAGAGAAUACCAAGGCGCUUGAGAGAACUCGGGUGAAGGAACUAGGCAAAAUGGUGCCGUAACUUCGGGAGAAGGCACGCUGAUAUGUAGGUGAAGCGACUUGCUCGUGGAGCUGAAAUCAGUCGAAGAUACCAGCUGGCUGCAACUGUUUAUUAAAAACACAGCACUGUGCAAACACGAAAGUGGACGUAUACGGUGUGACGCCUGCCCGGUGCCGGAAGGUUAAUUGAUGGGGUUAGCGGUAACGCGAAGCUCUUGAUCGAAGCCCCGGUAAACGGCGGCCGUAACUAUAACGGUCCUAAGGUAGCGAAAUUCCUUGUCGGGUAAGUUCCGACCUGCACGAAUGGCGUAAUGAUGGCCAGGCUGUCUCCACCCGAGACUCAGUGAAAUUGAACUCGCUGUGAAGAUGCAGUGUACCCGCGGCAAGACGGAAAGACCCCGUGAACCUUUACUAUAGCUUGACACUGAACAUUGAGCCUUGAUGUGUAGGAUAGGUGGGAGGCUUAGAAGUGUGGACGCCAGUCUGCAUGGAGCCGACCUUGAAAUACCACCCUUUAAUGUUUGAUGUUCUAACGUUGGCCCCUAAUCGGGGUUGCGGACAGUGUCUGGUGGGUAGUUUGACUGGGGCGGUCUCCUCCUAAAGAGUAACGGAGGAGCACGAAGGUUGGCUAAUCCUGGUCGGACAUCAGGAGGUUAGUGCAAUGGCAUAAGCCAGCUUGACUGCGAGCGUGACGGCGCGAGCAGGUGCGAAAGCAGGUCAUAGUGAUCCGGUGGUUCUGAAUGGAAGGGCCAUCGCUCAACGGAUAAAAGGUACUCCGGGGAUAACAGGCUGAUACCGCCCAAGAGUUCAUAUCGACGGCGGUGUUUGGCACCUCGAUGUCGGCUCAUCACAUCCUGGGGCUGAAGUAGGUCCCAAGGGUAUGGCUGUUCGCCAUUUAAAGUGGUACGCGAGCUGGGUUUAGAACGUCGUGAGACAGUUCGGUCCCUAUCUGCCGUGGGCGCUGGAGAACUGAGGGGGGCUGCUCCUAGUACGAGAGGACCGGAGUGGACGCAUCACUGGUGUUCGGGUUGUCAUGCCAAUGGCACUGCCCGGUAGCUAAAUGCGGAAGAGAUAAGUGCUGAAAGCAUCUAAGCACGAAACUUGCCCCGAGAUGAGUUCUCCCUGACCCUUUAAGGGUCCUGAAGGAACGUUGAAGACGACGACGUUGAUAGGCCGGGUGUGUAAGCGCAGCGAUGCGUUGAGCUAACCGGUACUAAUGAACCGUGAGGCUUAACCUU
This 2906-nucleotide ribosomal RNA is filed under the name Escherichia coli. RNAcentral's name for it is "23S ribosomal RNA". It matches the Rfam family "Bacterial large subunit ribosomal RNA". Lineage: Bacteria; Pseudomonadati; Pseudomonadota; Gammaproteobacteria; Enterobacterales; Enterobacteriaceae. The record is from RNAcentral.